RNAcentral lists this ribosomal RNA (191 nucleotides) under uncultured bacterium. RNAcentral's name for it is "partial 16S ribosomal RNA". It matches the Rfam family "Bacterial small subunit ribosomal RNA", at positions 1308 to 1500 of the family's 1533-position model. The record is from RNAcentral.
CAGCUCGCCUACAUGAAGUCGGAAUUGCUAGUAAUCGCGGAUCAGCAUGCCGCGGUGAAUACGUUCCCGGGCCUUGUACACACCGCCCGUCACACCAUGGGAGUCGGUAACACCCGAAGCCUGUAGUCUAACGAAAGAGGACGUCGUCGAAGGUGGGAUUGAUGACUGGGGUGAAGUCGUAACAAGGUACC